Molecule: ribosomal RNA, 701 nt
Filed under: Paenibacillus sp. SK91
Lineage: Bacteria; Bacillati; Bacillota; Bacilli; Caryophanales; Paenibacillaceae
Description: bacterial SSU rRNA
Rfam family: Bacterial small subunit ribosomal RNA
Source: RNAcentral
GGAGUUAAUGAGAAGCUUGCUUCUCUGAGACUUAGCGGCGGACGGGUGAGUAACACGUAGGCAACCUGCCCAUAAGACUGGGAUAACUACCGGAAACGGUAGCUAAUACCGGAUAGGUUCUUCUCUCGCAUGAGAGAAGAAAGAAAGACGGAGCAAUCUGUCACUUAUGGAUGGGCCUGCGGCGCAUUAGCUAGUUGGUGGGGUAAAGGCCUACCAAGGCGACGAUGCGUAGCCGACCUGAGAGGGUGAUCGGCCACACUGGGACUGAGACACGGCCCAGACUCCUACGGGAGGCAGCAGUAGGGAAUCUUCCGCAAUGGACGAAAGUCUGACGGAGCAACGCCGCGUGAGUGAUGAAGGUUUUCGGAUCGUAAAGCUCUGUUGCCAGGGAAGAACGUCCUUGAGAGUAACUGCUCAAGGAGUGACGGUACCUGAGAAGAAAGCCCCGGCUAACUACGUGCCAGCAGCCGCGGUAAUACGUAGGGGGCAAGCGUUGUCCGGAAUUAUUGGGCGUAAAGCGCGCGCAGGCGGUUAUUUAAGUUGGGUGUUUAAUCCCGGGGCUCAACCUCGGGUCGCACCCAAAACUGGGUAACUUGAGUACAGAAGAGGAAAGUGGAAUUCCACGUGUAGCGGUGAAAUGCGUAGAGAUGUGGAGGAACACCAGUGGCGAAGGCGACUUUCUGGGCUGUAACUGACGCUGA